GACGAACGCUGGCGGCGUGCCUAAUACAUGCAAGUAGAACGCAGUUGCGAACGGGUGAGUAACGCGUAGGUAACUGCCUCAUAGCGGGGGAUAACUAUUGGAAACGAUAGCUAAUACCGCAUACUAUUCGAGCGGCCGAUAACUGAUUAGCUAGUUGGUGGGGUAAAGGCCUACCAAGGCGACGAUCAGUAGCGGGUCUGAGAGGACGAUCCGCCACACUGGGACUGAGACACGGCCCAGACUCCUACGGGAGGCAGCAGUAGGGAAUCUUCGGCAAUGGACGGAAGUCUGACCGAGCAACGCCGCGUGAGUGAAGAAGGUUUUCGGAUCGUAAAGCUCUGUUGUUAGAGAAGCGGUAACUAACCAGAAAGGGACGGCUAACUACGUGCCAGCCGCCGCGGUAAUAC
RNAcentral lists this ribosomal RNA (407 nucleotides) under uncultured bacterium. Its description in RNAcentral is "partial 16S ribosomal RNA". It matches the Rfam family "Bacterial small subunit ribosomal RNA", at positions 28 to 526 of the family's 1533-position model. The record is from RNAcentral.